RNAcentral lists this long non-coding RNA (252 nucleotides) under Lathyrus oleraceus (garden pea). RNAcentral describes it as "Pisum sativum (pea) long non-coding RNA (PSAT_LNC030369)". The record is from RNAcentral. Lineage: Eukaryota; Viridiplantae; Streptophyta; Magnoliopsida; Fabales; Fabaceae.
AACAAGCAAAGCAAGAGCAAUUUCAAAAGAACUCAAAGGAACUUAGGUACCUGAAAAAAUCUAACCCAAUCAGUAUGCAAUUCAAACAAUCAAACAGACAACAGUCAAUCAUAAUCAGACAGAUAAGCAAGCAACAAUGUGCAAGGCACAAGCCAAUAGGCACAACACAAACAACUUGGCAUCAACCUACAAAACAACAUAAGGUUAGCCAACAUCAACCAAUUAAUCAAUCCAAAUGAGUGAACCACUUCA